This is a long non-coding RNA of Pecten maximus, 3354 nucleotides long. RefSeq lists it as uncharacterized. The record is from RefSeq and is a predicted model, not a curated record. The transcript is spliced from 2 exons. NCBI's taxonomy places the organism in Eukaryota, Metazoa, Mollusca, Bivalvia, Pectinida, Pectinidae.
AAUAAAGAUGGUUGAUGUUGAAGAGUGCGCAUAAUGUCCUUGAUUUGUAGUUCUUUAAGCUAUAUUAGAUCAACAUAGUCAAGUUUUUUAAAGAUAAAAUUGAAGGACUUUUCAUGGACAGUGUAAUUGUAACUUCUUAAUUACAAAUGUAGCUAAUUUGUAUGAAAACAAAAAUAAUUCAUCCAAGAGCAGGCUGUAUUUUAAUCCCAUUUCAAUGCCAUUAGUCUGAUGGAAGAUCUACAAAGAUGUAAAAAAAAAACAACACACAAAUAAAACUACAAUGUACAGUUAUCGUUCUAAAACAAAACUAGAAUAAAAGAUUGGGUAAUCAGAUACUUAUGAGAUUUUCCUUUGUAUAUUUCAUAUAUUUCUAAAAUAGAAUUGUUUGUUCUUUAAGAUUUUAUAAGUGGUUGUGUAGAAUGGUGAAGAGUGUGAUACAUUCUGUACAUAUGUUAUAACCUACAGCAAUAUCAAUGGUAUUGGGUGCUUUGUUAGAAGUGUGAUUGGUAGCAGGACACUUACAUACAAGGACUAAGGGUAGGACACAUACAUACUAGGACUAAGGGUAGGACACAUACAUACUAGGACUGAGGGUAGGACACAUACAUACUAGGACUGAGGUGACAUGACACAUACAUACUAGGACUAAGGGUAGUAGGACACAUACAUACUAGGACUGAGGGUAACAGGACACAUACAUACUAGGACUAAGGGUAGUAGGACAUAUACAUACUAGGACUAAGGGUAGUAGGACAUAUACAUACUAGGACUAAGGUUAGGACACAUACAUACUAGGACUAAGGGUAGGACACAUACAUACUAGGACUGAGGGUAGGACACAUACAUACUAGGACUAAGGGUAGUAGGACAUAUACAUACUAGGACUAAGGGUAGGACACAUACAUACUAGGACUAAGGGUAGGACACAUACAUACUAGGACUAAGGGUAGUAGGACACAUACAUACUAGGACUAAGGGUAGUAGGACACAUACAUACUAGGACUGAGGGUAGUAGGACACAUACAUACUAGGACUGAGGGUAGGACACAUACAUACUAGGACUGAGGGUAACAGGACACAUACAUACUAGGACUAAGGGUAGGACACAUACAUACUAGGACUAAGGGUAGGACACAUACAUACUAGGACUAAGGGUAACAGGACACAUACAUACUAGGACUAAGGGUAACAGGACACAUACAUACUAGGACUAAGGGUAACAGGACACUUACAUACUAGGACUAAGGGUAACAGGACACAUACAUACUAGGACUGAGGGUAACAGGACACAUACAUACUAGGACUAAGGGUAACAGGACACAUACAUACUAGGACUAAGAGUAGCAGGACACAUACAUAUUAGGACUAAGGGUAGGACACAUACAUACUAGGACUAAGGGUAGGACACAUACAUACUAGGACUAAGGGUAGGACACAUACAUACUAGGACUAAGGGUAACAGGACACAUACAUACUAGGACUAAGGGUAACAGGACACAUACAUACUAGGACUAAGGGUAACAGGACACUUACAUACUAGGACUAAGGGUAACAGGACACAUACAUACUAGGACUGAGGGUAACAGGACACAUACAUACUAGGACUAAGGGUAACAGGACACAUACAUACUAGGACUGAGGGUAACAGGACACAUACAUACUAGGACUAAGGGUAACAGGACACAUACAUACUAGGACUGAGGGUAGGACACAUACAUACUAGGACUAAGGGUAACAGGACACAUACAUACUAGGACUAAGGGUAGUAGGAUACAUACAUACUAGGACUAAGGAUAACAGGACACAUACAUACUAGGACUAAGGGUAACAGGACACAUACAUACUAGGACUAAGGAUAACAGGACACAUACAUACUAGGACUAAGGGUAACAGGACACAUACAUACUAGGACUAAGGGUAACAGGACACAUACAUACUAGGACUAAGGGAAGCAGGACAUACAUACUAGGACUAAGGGUAGUAGGACACAUACAUACUAGGACUAAGGGAAGCAGGACAUAUAUAUAUACAAUGUACUAACAUAUGGAGGUUAUGUUUAGAGACCAUCUUAAAAUAUAUGUAUCAGCUUAAAACAACAAGUGUGAAACAAGGCAACUUCACAAAUGACAUACUGGUAUAUAAUAAGGCACUGUCAGAAACCCAGGUGAUACUAGAAAAGAUGAAUGACAAUAUCAAAAAUAAUAACUAGAAAAAAUGUAAUAUCAAAAAUAAUAGGUGUAAAAUCAGGUAGAAAUGUGGACCAAGGUUUACCUACAGGAUUGAAACAUCUUUGUCAGCCUUAACUCAGCUCUCUCUAAUCUUGUCUUUUAAUUCCUUUGUAAUCUGGUCAUUUAGAAGAGAAAUACUGCAUGUAUAAUGUUUAUUAGAUAAAGCCACUAGCAAUGAGGGCGAGGAAUCCGAUGUUGUUUCCAUGGCACUAGAUACACAUUCUACAGUGUGAACAAAUUGGAUCAUAUAAAUAUGAGUAUAAAGGAUCAAAGGGAUGAAAGGCAAUUGAACAACUGUAUCUGAUGAACAAAUCCACAUUAAUCAAUGCUCCCAUGCCAAUGGGUUUUUCAUGCAGUGCUUUGUGAACCUAUUAAAAAGGGUUGAACACAUUAAGAUUUUAAAGAUUUUCUCAAUAUCAAUAGUCUAAUGAGAAAAAAAAUCAAACAUAUGGUUUGAAAUAGCAUUGGAAACUCCCUAGUAUUUUGUUUUUGGUGCACAAGUGUUUUUAUUGAAUAAGCACGGAAUGUGAAGUGUGAGAGAUGUUAUCAUUAGUCAUAAACAUGGACACAGUACAUGACAGUGUGAUUACUUUGUGUCCUCAUACACCGUCACAAACAAACCUCACUGCUAAAGGGUUACAGUUAUUUAAUAGAUUUGGCCAACAUCAAUGAUUCCAUUUCUAUAAAAAUACAUGUAUGGUUGACACUUUCAUUUCUGUGUAAUAAUUCAUUGUUUGAUAUUACAUAUAUGUCUUUAAAUGUUCACCUGUAAAGUUUGCAAAAGCUCAUGCUAUUUUUUGAGAUAUUUUGAUAUGUUGUUAAGAAUACUUGUUACCUUAGUCAUUGAAUACUCGACAAAAUGUUUAAUUACUUCUCAAUGACUAUGUAGGUAUACCAAUAUUGGUAUGUAAUAUUGAAUGCUAUGCAAUUAAAAUUCCUGCUGUCCAAAAGUAAAUGACUGGAUUCCUAAAGAGACACUUGACUCACUUGUUCUGUGUGUUACAGCACAAUGCCCUCUGUCUAUAUCUGAUAGUGCCUAAACAUACAUUCUGUUAAUUGUUUUUAUGUCACAAAAACUCCAUAUUUUGUGUAAGCAUAACCAAUAAAAUUUGGUGUAACAGUUAAA